UUGCCCUUUGCCUCGCUCGACUGUGCUCAAUCAUUGUGCAGUCUUGAGCUGGAUAGCAGCUUAUCUGCUAAUGGGCUAGAUCGAAUUUAAGCACUUCAUUGAGUACGCCGGCGUUUGCAUUGUAGCGUCGGUGUAAUUAGAUAGUACUACAUCC
RNAcentral lists this small nucleolar RNA (154 nucleotides) under Tortispora caseinolytica NRRL Y-17796. The record is from RNAcentral. Lineage: Eukaryota; Fungi; Ascomycota; Trigonopsidomycetes; Trigonopsidales; Trigonopsidaceae.